Molecule: long non-coding RNA, 721 nt
Filed under: Lathyrus oleraceus (garden pea)
Lineage: Eukaryota; Viridiplantae; Streptophyta; Magnoliopsida; Fabales; Fabaceae
Description: Pisum sativum (pea) long non-coding RNA (PSAT_LNC003824)
Source: RNAcentral
AAUAAUAUGUGCAUCAGCAAAACACAUUAUACUCGGUAAUAUCCAAAAAUAUGUUUACGAUCUUACGUUGCAAAAUUCCUACAACUCAUAAAGUCACGCUUUUUCUCCUUCAAUAUGCCAGCUCACAAAUCAGUUACAAUUCUCACACACUUGAAGGGAUCUAUAAGAUAUUUCACACGAAUUUGAAUAAAAAAGUUCUCUUAUAUAAAGACAUCCUGACUCACUCUAAAGAAAAGGAGAAAAAUGGCAGUGAAAUGCUGACGAAUUCUCUCUGCGAACCCAGUUAGAUCUGAGCGAAAGUUAUACAAAGAAGAAGAAGAAAGGCAAAUGAAGAAGAAGAAAUAGAGCAAGCCAAGAUUAGAAGAAACAAAGCACUCACCAUACUCAUUGAAACUUUUGAAUUUCGGUAGAUCUUUGUUGAUUUCAACUUGUUAUUCAACUGUUGUUUUAAUUUUUCUGCUUUGUUUUUCCAUUUUCCGUCGAUAUGCAUUUUGUAUAGUGUGAUCAUAUGAUAAAAUAUUGAAAGAGGUGUGCUAGGGUUUCAAAAGGGUGCAAAAAUAGGUUUGGAUCUAUGUUUGCUUGUGUGUUUUCAUGAUUUUUGUGUGCUAGGGUUACUCAAUUUUUUUUCUUUUUCUUUGCCAAGGAUUUCUUGGGAUAAUGCAUGGCCGGUUUUGAGAUGGGCCGAUCGCCCCUUUGUCUCCCUCCGUUCUUUUUAAUAUUU